ACAGAGGCGAUAAGACUAUCAUUUUCGGCGCAUGAUACUUCAUCUAUCCCGUCCAUUUCGGAGUCUACAACUGGUGCUUUGACUGCGCAGACGAGCACCUUUUCCAGACACCUCGGAUCAGGAUUGGAAUCCGUGUCGGGUUGGGCAGGUGGCAAUUGAGAAUUGGGGUUUGCCGCGGGACCAGCGGGAUUGCGCGAAAAAGUGGGAUCUUUGACAUUAUGUAGCCAUACUAGAGGUCGAUGGUCAGUGACCAAUGUAAAUUGUCGGCCGUACAGCCUCGUUCAAGGUUCUAGAAGCGUAUGCGAUAGGAAGAUCCUUUCCUACUGGUCCCUGGCUCAAGAUGACACCUACCGCAAAGUCGGAG
This is a long non-coding RNA of Hylaeus volcanicus, 364 nucleotides long. RefSeq lists it as uncharacterized. NCBI's taxonomy places the organism in Eukaryota, Metazoa, Arthropoda, Insecta, Hymenoptera, Colletidae. The transcript is spliced from 3 exons. The record is from RefSeq and is a predicted model, not a curated record.